Molecule: ribosomal RNA, 732 nt
Filed under: uncultured Campylobacter sp.
Lineage: Bacteria; Pseudomonadati; Campylobacterota; Epsilonproteobacteria; Campylobacterales; Campylobacteraceae
Description: bacterial SSU rRNA
Rfam family: Bacterial small subunit ribosomal RNA
Source: RNAcentral
AGUGAACGCUGGCGGCGUGCCUAAUACAUGCAAGUCGAACGAUGAAGUCCUAGCUUGCUAGGAUGGAUUAGUGGCGCACGGGUGAGUAAUAUAUAGUUAAUCUGCCCUACACAGAGGAACAACAGUUGGAAACGGCUGCUAAUACCUCAUACUCCUAUUUGACAUAAGUUAAAUAGGGAAAGUCUUUUCGGUGUAGGAUGAGACUAUAUCGUAUCAGCUAGUUGGUAAGGUAAUGGCUUACCAAGGCUAUGACGCGUAACUGGUCUGAGAGGAUGAUCAGUCACAUUGGAACUGAGACACGGUCCAAACUCCUACGGGAGGCAGCAGUAAGGAAUAUUGCGCAAUGGGGGAAACCCUGACGCAGCAACGCCGCGUGGAGGAUGACACUUUUCGGAGCGUAAACUCCUUUUAUCAGGAAAGAAUAAUGACGGUACCUGAUGAAUAAGCACCGGCUAACUCCGUGCCAGCAGCCGCGGUAAUACGGGGGGUGCAAGCGUUACUCGGAAUCACUGGGCGUAAAGGACGCGUAGGCGGAUUAUCAAGUCUUUUGUGAAAUCUAGUGGCUUAACCACUAAACUGCUUAGGAAACUGAUAGUCUAGAGUAGGGGAGAGGUAGAUGGAAUUCUUGGUGUAGGGGUAAAAUCCGUAGAGAUCAAGAAGAAUACCCAUUGCGAAAGCGAUCUGCUGGGACCUAACUGACGCUGAGGCGUGAAAGCGUGGGUAGCAAACAGG